GUAGGUGGCAAGCGUUGUCCGGAAUUAUUGGGCGUAAAGCGCGCGCAGGCGGUUCUUUAAGUCUGAUGUGAAAGCCCACGGCUCAACCGUGGAGGGUCAUUGGAAACUGGAGAACUUGAGUACAGAAGAGGAAAGCGGAAUUCCACGUGUAGCGGUGAAAUGCGUAGAGAUGUGGAGGAACACCAGUGGCGAAGGCGGCUUUCUGGUCUGUAACUGACGCUGAGGCGCGAAAGCGUGGGGAGCAAACAGGGAUUAGAUACCCUGGUAGUCCACGCCGUAAACGAUGAGUGCUAAGUGUUAGGGGGUUUCCCGCCCCUUAGUGCUGCAGCUAACGCAUUAAGCACUCCGCCCCGGGGGAGUACGGCCGCAAGGCUG
Molecule: ribosomal RNA, 375 nt
Filed under: uncultured organism
Description: partial 16S ribosomal RNA
Rfam family: Bacterial small subunit ribosomal RNA
Source: RNAcentral